This 583-nucleotide long non-coding RNA is filed under the name Mus spretus (western wild mouse). Its description in RNAcentral is "lncRNA (ENSMSPG00010024844.1)". Lineage: Eukaryota; Metazoa; Chordata; Mammalia; Rodentia; Muridae. The record is from RNAcentral.
GCAGAAGUCACCACCUACUGGGUCACCAGGGUUCAAGGCUUGUACUCAACCUGAGGCCAGGCUGUCUAUGCACAGCUCACCACCCCACAAGUUCCCUUAACACCCAUUCCUUUUCUUGCCCUCCACUGAUUUAUUGUCUUAUAGUUUCAAACACCCAUGGAGAUGAGGAUGAUACCUCCUCCCACUACUAAGAAAACCCAACUAAACAAGAAUUUGUACCCCAACAAGAAUCAGCACACAACACAGAGAGUUUAGGAGACAGUGAAGUCCAGGCUCAGAAUACAGGAAAGGGUGAGGGUCACAGGAAGCUGAUAGAGUGAAAGGACCUUGAAAAUCCACAGGCAGUGAGGAAUGGUGAGAAGGAAGUCAUCUUCUGAAAGCCAAGUGUUCACCUUCACAGAAAGCAGCCAUUCCAGACCUUGAUCUUGACCUUCUGACCUCCACAAAUGUGAAAAGCCAAAAUUCUAUUGUUUAAACUACCAAUGAUUUCUCAGAAGCAUUUGUAUUAGAUAUCUUUUUCUAUGGUUGCACAUGCUUUUGAUAUUUGUAGUCUUCAAGCAUUAAAGACAAGAGUUUACAAUCA